AUUUAUUUAGUAUAAAAAAUACAUCUGACUUCCAAUUAGAAAAUUCGUAAUAAUAACGAAAUAAAUA
RNAcentral lists this transfer RNA (67 nucleotides) under Thermobia sp. XL-2019. RNAcentral's name for it is "tRNA-Gly". The record is from RNAcentral. Lineage: Eukaryota; Metazoa; Arthropoda; Insecta; Zygentoma; Lepismatidae.